GGCCUGAUAUCUCAGUUGCUUAGAGCAUUGUCCUGAUAUGCCAAAGUUGUGGGUUCAAUCCCCAGUCAGGGCA
This 73-nucleotide transfer RNA is filed under the name Myotis lucifugus (little brown bat). It matches the Rfam family "tRNA". Rfam says of the family: Transfer RNA (tRNA) molecules are approximately 80 nucleotides in length. Their secondary structure includes four short double-helical elements and three loops (D, anti-codon, and T loops). Further hydrogen bonds mediate the characteristic L-shaped molecular structure. tRNAs have two regions of fundamental functional importance: the anti-codon, which is responsible for specific mRNA codon recognition, and the 3' end, to which the tRNAs corresponding amino acid is attached (by aminoacyl-tRNA synthetases). tRNAs cope with the degeneracy of the genetic code in two manners: having more than one tRNA (with a specific anti-codon) for a particular amino acid; and 'wobble' base-pairing, i.e. permitting non-standard base-pairing at the 3rd anti-codon position. Lineage: Eukaryota; Metazoa; Chordata; Mammalia; Chiroptera; Vespertilionidae. RNAcentral also lists the same sequence under 1 other name. The record is from Rfam by way of RNAcentral.